CCCGUAACUUCGGAAGAAGGGGUGCCCACCUCAGACGUGGGUCGCAGUGAAGAGAUCCAGGCGACUGUUUACCAAAAACACAUGA
This 85-nucleotide ribosomal RNA is filed under the name Anabaena minutissima FACHB-250. RNAcentral's name for it is "partial 23S ribosomal RNA". The record is from RNAcentral. Lineage: Bacteria; Bacillati; Cyanobacteriota; Cyanophyceae; Nostocales; Nostocaceae.